UACGUAGGGUCCAAGCGUUAAUCGGAAUUACUGGGCGUAAAGCGUGCGCAGGCGGUUCGUUAAGUCAGCUGUGAAAGCCCCGGGCUCAACCUGGGAAUGGCGGUUGAAACUGGCGAACUUGAAUCUGGCAGAGGGGGGUGGAAUUCCACGUGUAGCAGUGAAAUGCGUAGAGAUGUGGAGGAACACCGAUGGCGAAGGCAGCCCCCUGGGCUGAGAUUGACGCUCAGGCACGAAAGCGUGGGGAGCAAACAGG
This 253-nucleotide ribosomal RNA is filed under the name uncultured bacterium. RNAcentral describes it as "partial 16S ribosomal RNA". It matches the Rfam family "Bacterial small subunit ribosomal RNA", at positions 524 to 776 of the family's 1533-position model. The record is from RNAcentral.